CUGGGAAGAAAGAGGCUAUAACUCAAACAAAUCUCUUCCAUAAUAGCGAUGUGAAUACUAAACAUUACUGGCCAAGUAAAUUGCUUUUUGUGUAAGAAACUGCUACUUCAAGAUUCCAAUGUAGACUUACAGCCAAGCCCCUCUCUAGGAAACUAGAGAGGACUCUAGCACUAGAUUGGGACUGCUGAGACAUUGAUAGAGUCAACAACUAUGACAUCUUCAUCAGGAGACACUCAUUGCUGGACUACUUGGACCACAGCCUCCAGCUCUCUACAUCAUCUGAGAUCCUAGAGAGACACCGCCACUCAGCUGCCAGUUUGAAGUCCCUGGUAAAGUCACGAGUUUUACCAAAAACGGCAUGCCAUAAACCAAUUUAAUUCAAGGUAACCCAAGCUGCUGGAUGAAAAGGAGCUCAAGAAAUGAACAGAAGGAAGAAAACGCAAACGUUUCAAGUUACACAGGAUCCUCAUCACAGUGAAAUGAGCACAAAUUAACAGACCAAGGGUUCCCAGGACCGAUGAGAACCAGUUUCCUACUACAGACUUGAUUUAUGCACUAGCAUCAGAAUGGCACCUGUAACUGAGAGCUGCAGUCUGGAUUUCACCUAACUCCACGGCAGAG
Molecule: non-coding RNA, 621 nt
Organism: Myodes glareolus (Bank vole)
Lineage: Eukaryota; Metazoa; Chordata; Mammalia; Rodentia; Cricetidae
Source: RefSeq, a predicted model, not a curated record